This 85-nucleotide microRNA precursor is filed under the name Solanum commersonii (Commerson's wild potato). Its description in RNAcentral is "MIR8024 microRNA precursor family". It matches the Rfam family "MIR8024 microRNA precursor family". Lineage: Eukaryota; Viridiplantae; Streptophyta; Magnoliopsida; Solanales; Solanaceae. RNAcentral also lists the same sequence under 1 other name. The record is from Rfam by way of RNAcentral.
UUGGUUGAUUUGAUACUCCAUCUUGCAGACUUGAAGAAUUUGAAGACCUCAACUUGCAAACGUGGUUCAUUUGAAGACUUCAACU